RNAcentral lists this ribosomal RNA (608 nucleotides) under Bacteriovorax sp. 16SFG2. Its description in RNAcentral is "bacterial SSU rRNA". It matches the Rfam family "Bacterial small subunit ribosomal RNA", at positions 20 to 605 of the family's 1533-position model. Lineage: Bacteria; Pseudomonadati; Bdellovibrionota; Bacteriovoracia; Bacteriovoracales; Bacteriovoracaceae. The record is from RNAcentral.
UGGCUCAGAACGAACGCUGUCGGCAUGCCUAACACAUGCAAGUCGUACGAGAAAGCUUCUUCGGAAGUGAUUAGAGUGGCGCACGGGUGAGUAACUCGUAGGUGAUCUACCAUUUGGCGGGGGAUAACCAGAAGAAAUUCUGGCUAAUACCGCAUACGUACUGCAAUUUUGAAAGUAGCAGUAGAAAGAGUGCCUCUCCUUGGAAGCACUUACCAAAUGAUGAGCCUGCGUAGCAUUAGUUUGAUGGUGGGGUAAUCGCCUACCAUGACUACGAUGCUUAGCUGGUCUGAGAGGAUGAUCAGUCACACUGGAACUGAGACACGGUCCAGACUCCUACGGGAGGCAGCAGUGGGGAAUAUUGCGCAAUGGGGGAAACCCUGACGCAGCAAUGCCGAGUGAGUGAGGAAGGCCUUCGGGUUGUAAAGCUCUGUCAGAAGGGAAUAAUGGUAUAGGGUCCAAUAGGCCUUAUAUUUGAGGGUACCUUCAAAGGAAGCACCGGCUAACUUCGUGCCAGCAGCCGCGGUAAUACGAAGGGUGCAAGCGUUGUUCGGAUUUAUUGGGCGUAAAGCGCGCGCAGGCGGAUUGUUAAGUCAGAUGUGAAAUCUCGG